This 200-nucleotide unclassified non-coding RNA is filed under the name Clavicipitaceae sp. Its description in RNAcentral is "partial internal transcribed spacer 2". The record is from RNAcentral. Lineage: Eukaryota; Fungi; Ascomycota; Sordariomycetes; Hypocreales; Clavicipitaceae.
UUAAGUUCAGCGGGUAUUCCUACCUGAUUCGAGGUCAACUCUUAAAAGUUGGGCGUUUUACGGCAGUGGCCGCGUCGGGCUCCCGUUGCGAGGUUGUGCUACUACGCAGGGGUGGCACGCGACGAGGCCGCCAAUUCAUUUCGGGGGCGGUGGACGCACCGGGCACGCGCCCCGGAGGGCGGGCUCGGGCGAGGUCGCCG